Piliocolobus tephrosceles (Ugandan red Colobus) is the source of this 2139-nucleotide long non-coding RNA. RefSeq lists it as uncharacterized. Lineage: Eukaryota; Metazoa; Chordata; Mammalia; Primates; Cercopithecidae. The transcript has 2 exons. The record is from RefSeq and is a predicted model, not a curated record.
CAGAGAUGGGGACAGAAUAGAUGGGGGGGAGGUGGGCCCAUGGCCCCCACGUCCUACCCUGUGGGGGUCUGCCCAGCUCAGGGCCCCUUCCUCUGUCUCUGCUCACUGCUGUGGCCUCUUUCCAUAUCCCCCUGGAGCUGCUCCUCCUGAGGCUGCGGGGUGGGGGCAGGCCCUCCCCCGUUCCCCCCAUCUCCCUGGGGGCCGGCCUCCCUGCCUGGGGAAGGUGGGUGGGCCCUCUGGGCUCAGGUUCCUGGGCUGCGGUGAGGGGUGGGCUCAACCCCACUCCCAUUCUGUCGGAGCCUCUGGGAGCCUCUGGGCUGCCCAUAGCCUCUGCCUCUGCUGGGGGCAGGUAUCUGGCCCCUGGCCCCUGGCCCCUGCCUUCCCGGCCCAGCCCCCUUCGCUGGGACACAGGUGGCUCUACUGAAUGACAAUGUCCAUGGCUAAUCGGCUCCCCCUCAAAGCUUCCACCUUCUGAACAGCCCCACACCAUGGCCACGGUUCCAGAUCUUUCCACCGUGUGAUGCCUCCAACAGCCUGACGGGGGGCCAGGGUGGUGGUGGGGCUGGCUGUGAGGCUGACCUCACCUUCCAGCCUUGACCUCCUACCCCGGGGCCCUGCCCUCCAGCCCACUUGUGCCGGGGUGGGGUGGUUCAGGGGGUCCAGUGCCUGGGCCUGGCUGAUGGCAUUUGUGAAGCGGCUUGCUUAUCUCCUUGUAUUCUGCGCUGAGCAUUUUAUUACAGCGAAUGGAAAACAGGAGAAAUGAAACUGCUGAUAUUAGUGAUGAGAUGCGUCAGGCUCAUCAGCUUAAAAUAACCGAAGCGAGGCUAGAAACCGCCUGACAGCUGGCGCGGCUGCCUGGCUCAGAGAGACACUCGGCCCGACUGUGAAGGGAAAACAUUAAAGCACCGAAACGGUGGAAAAAGAGCAUCAAAGAUGAUGUCUGCGAGGCGCGGCCACGGCGAGGAAGCUCUCGUAUGAACAAAGGGCCACUCCCGGGUCUCAGAGAUUUGUAAGAAAUUACACAGAUGCUUCCUCAUACACUCUGCUCAGUCUCUCUGAAUGAUAGUUUGGAAAACCACAGGACAAUGCCACAACCAGGUUAAUGACUUUGACGUGAUGCCUCGAUCCCAUCCUGAGUCCCUGUUCCUGGCUGACCUGUGCCUAUCAAGGGCUGCACCAUGUCGGCACAGGCGAAGGCUCCUGUGUCCCCUGACAGCAAGGCCGCAGAACGUCCCCAUCACCAGGGGGUCCUCGGGUGCCCUUGGCAAUACACCCACCUCCCUGCUGAUGGCCACGAGCCUGUCCUCCACCCCCAUCACUGUUUCAUUCCAGCGACAGCGUGGGAAGGUGCAGUAGCAGCCUUCCGGGAUUCCCUGGAGAUGCCUCCAGCCCGUGUUUCAGCAGCCGGUUCCUCUGUGCUGAGCCAUCCAGGCCGUGGUGUGGACGUAGCACACCACAAUUUAGCCAGCCGUUCUCCAGUGUGAGUGAGUCUGGGUGGACUCCAUUUCUUGGUGACUAUGAAUAAAGGCCCGGAAGCCCUCUGCGGACGAGGGCGCCCAGGAGGCCCAGGGGCUCUAGGACUGCUCUCCCAGACAGGGGCCUUGCUCUCAGGGGCCUGGAGAAGGUUCCGCUCGCUGGGGGCCCUCCCCUGCUCCUGGUCUGAGAAGAGAAACCUAGAGUUUCCAAGGCACCUGCAGGUCAUGACGCGUGGCGCCCGGCACACUGCAGUGCUGAGAUAGGGCCCCGGGUGCUGGAACAUGAGCCAGCGCCGAUGGAAAGUGGCGGGGGGAGGGGAUUCCCCGCUCGCCCGGGGCAGCGGGAAGUUUCCAUCCGCGCAGGGACGGUCCGGGGAAGCACAGGAAACAGCAGGACCAUCCCGAAACUGCUUCUGCAGUGGGAGGCGGCGGGCGCCAGGCUGGCCGGGUGGAAACGACGCGGUAGCCGCCCGGGCCAAGGGCACCGCGUUGGGGAGGCAGCGCCUGAUUCACAGCCAUUUCUGAGGUUGGAACAGGAAAUGGUUAAUAGUGUUUGCAAAUAAAAACUCUCUGUUCUAUCCUGUUUUCGAAACAUUUCCCAGAAGUUGAAAAAUAACACCCAAUUUAUCUGCCCAAUGUAAGAAUAAACUUUUAAAAAAUUGAA